CCUACGGGGGGCUGCAGUAGGGAAUCUUCCACAAUGGACGAAAGUCUGAUGGAGCAACGCCGCGUGGGGGAUGAAGGGUUUCGGCUCGUAAAACACCGUUGUAAGAGAAGAAUGACAUUGAGAGUAACUGUUCAGUGUGUGACGGUUUCUUACCAGAAAGGAACGGCUAAAUACGUGCCAGCAGCCGCGGUAAUCAGUAUGUUCCAAGCGUUAACCGGAUGUAUUGGGCGUAAAGCGAGCGAAGACGGUUGUUUAAGUCUGAAGUGAGAGCCCAUGGCUGAACUGUGGAAUUGCGUUGGAAACUGGAUAACUUGAGUGCAGUAGAGGAGAGUGGAACUCCAUGUGUAGCGGUGAAAUGCGUAGAUAUAUGGAAGCACACCAGUGGCGAAGGCGGCUCUCUGGACUGUAACUGACGUUGAGGCUCGAAAGUGUGGGUAGCAAACAGGAUUAGAUACCCCUGUAGUC
This 465-nucleotide ribosomal RNA is filed under the name uncultured Weissella sp. RNAcentral's name for it is "bacterial SSU rRNA". It matches the Rfam family "Bacterial small subunit ribosomal RNA", at positions 338 to 795 of the family's 1533-position model. The record is from RNAcentral. Lineage: Bacteria; Bacillati; Bacillota; Bacilli; Lactobacillales; Lactobacillaceae.